Molecule: long non-coding RNA, 1292 nt
Organism: Paramisgurnus dabryanus
Lineage: Eukaryota; Metazoa; Chordata; Actinopteri; Cypriniformes; Cobitidae
Source: RefSeq, a predicted model, not a curated record
UACAUUUUUUUUAUAAAUGAGGAAAUACAUGUGAAUAAUUCAAUCUGAAUUAUAAAUCUGAAAUGAGUAAACCAAUCGGAGUGUUUAAUUGUAAGCUCCGCCCCUUUUUUGCUUUCGGAUCGCGUCUCAGUUCAGAGGAGAGAUGCAGAGCGACAGAGACACUCGAUCUAACGCGAGAGUGUUUAAUUUGAUUAAAUAUGACUCUUAAGUUCAUAUAAACUGAAGAGAUCAGAAUUUAACUUGCAUAUAUUCAAUGAUACAGCGUGAUUGUGUGGAUUGAGCACUUUUUGAGCUUUCAUUUUGACCUGUGUGAUUAUGUAAAACCACAUGGUGCGUUGUGUUCACUGCUGUUCGCUGACGCCAUUUUGGUUGCACGUGCCUGUGAAAGACAAAAAGAGAGAGAAACACGUGAAUGGACAGCUGGAUUUUCCUAAUUGAUGGCGAGCCUCCCAUUUCGACCUGAUUGGAUCACGAAUCUAGAGGAAAGGACAAUUUUCUAUUUUAAAUAUUUUUCUUCAGACAAGUAAGAGGAUACAUUUCAGAAACUGUUUCCUUAUUUUGUUUGCUUACUUUAUUGAACUGAAACAUUUCAGAAGCACAAUUCUGAUAAUUUAAGACUGAUCAAUACUCCAAUUGAUAAGAACUUUGAACUUGAAUACUGAUUUCAGUGUGUAUAUCAUUUGUACCAUCUUUGUACAUUGAUUGUGACUGUGAUUUCUGUAAAUGAGAAGUAAUUUAGAGCGUGCACCCAUAGUAUAUAUAGUUAAUUGUAUUUUCAUUGUUGUUACUAUUUUUUUGUGAAUAAGGAAAGAAAUAGAAAGGUUUCUCAAUACUCAAAGUAAAAUAAUUUAUUAAUCAACUUACCUUCUGUCUCUGCUUGUUGCUCACUAUCACUGCUACCUCCUCCUUCGUACCGUGCACCCUUCUGAUCUUAUUAUUAUGCCUGGUCCAUAAGUAAGUGAGUUAAUACCCGCUACAUAAAGAAAGUACACUUUCAUGGCAAUAUUUCUAAACACAUUUAAUAAAUGAUCAUUAGACUGAUGUGACCUACCAAAGACUUGUUAAUUUAAAGUUCAUGCAGUUCUUUUUUAGUUGUCUGUUAAAAUGUAAAAAAAUUAUAACUUUGAGUUUAUUUUUUUCUAAGGGAUGUAAUUAUUCAAUAUUGAUAGUUGUUUGUUUGAUUCCAAUUUAACAAUAUUAAAAUGAGUUUUUUUUUGUUUGGACAUAUACAACUCAUAAUUAAUUUAUUAAAUGUACUUUUGCAAAACAAAAAAUCUGAUUCAUAAUUUGAC